AGCAGCCGCCGCGGGAAUACGAAGGGUGCAAGCGUUACUCGGAAUUACUGGGCGUAAAGCGUGCGUAGGUGGUGGUUUAAGUCCGUUGUGAAAGCCCUGGGCUCAACCUGGGAAUUGCAGUGGAUACUGGGUCACUAGAGUGUGGUAGAGGAUAGUGGAAUUUCCGGUGUAGCAGUGAAAUGCGUAGAGAUCGGAAGGAACAUCUGUGGCGAAGGCGACUAUCUGGGCCAACACUGACACUGAGGCACGAAAGCGUGGGGAGCAAACAGGAUUAGAUACCCGCGUAGUCCCUGUCUCUUAUAC
This 303-nucleotide ribosomal RNA is filed under the name uncultured bacterium. RNAcentral describes it as "partial 16S ribosomal RNA". It matches the Rfam family "Bacterial small subunit ribosomal RNA", at positions 507 to 807 of the family's 1533-position model. The record is from RNAcentral.